Molecule: ribosomal RNA, 494 nt
Filed under: uncultured bacterium
Lineage: Bacteria
Description: partial 16S ribosomal RNA
Rfam family: Bacterial small subunit ribosomal RNA
Source: RNAcentral
ACGAACGCUGGCGGCGUGCCUAAUCCAUGCAAGUAGAACGCUGAAGGAGGAGCUUGCUCUUCUGGAUGAGUUGCGAACGGGUGAGUAACGCGUAGGUAACCUGCCUGGUAGCGGGGGAUAACUAUUGGAAACGAUAGCUAAUACCGCAUAACAGUAGAUGUUGCAUGACAUUUGCUUAAAAGGUGCAAUUGCAUCACUACCAGAUGGACCUGCGUUGUAUUAGCUAGUUGGUGGGGUAACGGCUCACCAAGGCGACGAUACAUAGCCGACCUGAGAGGGUGAUCGGCCACACUGGGACUGAGACACGGCCCAGACGCCUACGGGAGGCAGCAGUAGGGAAUCGUCGGCAAUGGACGGAAGUCUGACCGAGCAACGCCGAGUGAGUGAAGAAGGUUUUCGGAUCGUAAAGCUCUGUUGUAAGAGAAGAACGAGUGUGAGAGUGGAAAGUUCACACUGUGACGGUAUCUUACCAGAAAGGGACGGCUAACUACGUG